This 78-nucleotide transfer RNA is filed under the name Pyrinomonadaceae bacterium. RNAcentral's name for it is "tRNA-Arg". It matches the Rfam family "tRNA". From Rfam's summary of the family: Transfer RNA (tRNA) molecules are approximately 80 nucleotides in length. Their secondary structure includes four short double-helical elements and three loops (D, anti-codon, and T loops). Further hydrogen bonds mediate the characteristic L-shaped molecular structure. tRNAs have two regions of fundamental functional importance: the anti-codon, which is responsible for specific mRNA codon recognition, and the 3' end, to which the tRNAs corresponding amino acid is attached (by aminoacyl-tRNA synthetases). tRNAs cope with the degeneracy of the genetic code in two manners: having more than one tRNA (with a specific anti-codon) for a particular amino acid; and 'wobble' base-pairing, i.e. permitting non-standard base-pairing at the 3rd anti-codon position. Lineage: Bacteria; Pseudomonadati; Acidobacteriota; Blastocatellia; Blastocatellales; Pyrinomonadaceae. The record is from RNAcentral.
GGGCCUGUAGCUCAGCGGAAUCAGAGCUUCUGUCUUCUAAACAGAAAGUCGCAGGUUCGAAUCCUGCCAGGCUCACCA